UACGAAGGGGGCUAGCGUUGUUCGGAAUCACUGGGCGUAAAGCGCACGUAGGCGGAUCUUUAAGUCAGGGGUGAAAUCCCGAGGCUCAACCUCGGAACUGCCUUUGAUACUGGGGAUCUCGAGUCCGGGGAGAGGUGAGUGGAACUGCGAGUGUAGAGGUGAAAUUCGUAGAUAUUCGCAAGAACACCAGUGGCGAAGGCGGCUCACUGGCCCGGUACUGACGCUGAGGUGCGAAAGCGUGGGGAGCAAACAGGG
RNAcentral lists this ribosomal RNA (255 nucleotides) under uncultured bacterium. RNAcentral's name for it is "partial 16S ribosomal RNA". It matches the Rfam family "Bacterial small subunit ribosomal RNA", at positions 524 to 777 of the family's 1533-position model. The record is from RNAcentral.